GAGAGAAUCAAAUAGGAGUUCAAUUUCUUUCUUAUUCUGAAGGUAUAGAAAAUGUUUCUGGGAUGUAUCUUAGUUCCAUUUCUUUUCUCUCCCC
Non-coding RNA from Turdus rufiventris (rufous-bellied thrush), 94 nucleotides. NCBI's taxonomy places the organism in Eukaryota, Metazoa, Chordata, Aves, Passeriformes, Turdidae. The record is from the annotation of a GenBank genome assembly.